Molecule: non-coding RNA, 30 nt
Filed under: Rattus norvegicus (Norway rat)
Lineage: Eukaryota; Metazoa; Chordata; Mammalia; Rodentia; Muridae
Source: RNAcentral
UCCUAAUGCUGCGACCUUUGAAUACAGUUC